CACAUACAAGUCGAACGGUAGCACAGAGAGCUUGCUCUUGGGUGACGAGUGGCGGACGGGUGAGUAAUGUCUGGGAAACUGCCCCGAUGGAGGGGGAUAACUACUGGAAACGGUAGCUAAUACCGCAUAACGUCUUCGGACCAAAGUGGGGGACCUUCGGGCCUCACACCAUCGGAUGUGCCCAGAUGGGAUUAGCUAGUAGGUGGGGUAAUGGCUCACCUAGGCGACGAUCCCUAGCUGGUCUGAGAGGAUGACCAGCCACACUGGAACUGAGACACGGUCCAGACUCCUACGGGAGGCAGCAGUGGGGAAUAUUGCACAAUGGGCGCAAGCCUGAUGCAGCCAUGCCGCGUGUAUGAAGAAGGCCUUCGGGUUGUAAAGUACUUUCAGUGGGGAGGAAGGCGUUAAGGUUAAUAACCUUGACGAUUGACGUUACCCGCAGAAGAAGCACCGGC
This 455-nucleotide ribosomal RNA is filed under the name Erwinia sp. Z2NS-96. RNAcentral describes it as "bacterial SSU rRNA". It matches the Rfam family "Bacterial small subunit ribosomal RNA", at positions 52 to 497 of the family's 1533-position model. The record is from RNAcentral. Lineage: Bacteria; Pseudomonadati; Pseudomonadota; Gammaproteobacteria; Enterobacterales; Erwiniaceae.